UUGAGGUGACAGAUCUGAUGACACGCGCACGCCAUGCACGAUGCACCUCAGUCAAAGCAUCACACACGUGGUAAUCACAAUGGAAGGCUGAGAUUAAAACAUUUCAAAUUGAUCAAAAGGUUGAGAGAGGGCCAACGCACUACCGGAGCCCUAGCUCCGGUCUUGUUCUCCGGUGGACCUCACCGGACUGGUCCACCACCAACCUUCACCAAAAUAAAAAGUGU
RNAcentral lists this long non-coding RNA (224 nucleotides) under Lathyrus oleraceus (garden pea). RNAcentral describes it as "Pisum sativum (pea) long non-coding RNA (PSAT_LNC001671)". Lineage: Eukaryota; Viridiplantae; Streptophyta; Magnoliopsida; Fabales; Fabaceae. The record is from RNAcentral.